This 327-nucleotide ribosomal RNA is filed under the name uncultured bacterium. RNAcentral describes it as "bacterial SSU rRNA". It matches the Rfam family "Bacterial small subunit ribosomal RNA", at positions 568 to 898 of the family's 1533-position model. The record is from RNAcentral.
UGCGUAGGCGGACCUUUAAGUCAGUGGUGAAAGUUUGCGGCUCAACCGUAAAAUUGCCAUUGAAACUGAAGGUCUUGAGUGUAAAUAAGGUAGGCGGAAUGUGUUGUGUAGCGGUGAAAUGCUUAGAUAUAACACAGAACACCAAUUGCGAAGGCAGCUUACUGGGAUACAACUGACGCUGAGGCACGAAAGCGUGGGGAUCAAACAGGAUUAGAUACCCUGGUAGUCCACGCAGUAAACGAUGAAUACUAACUGUAUGCGAUAUACUGUAUGUGGUAAAGCGAAAGCGUUAAGUAUUCCACCUGGGGAUACGUUCGCAAGAAUGAA